Molecule: ribosomal RNA, 301 nt
Filed under: uncultured bacterium
Lineage: Bacteria
Description: partial 16S ribosomal RNA
Rfam family: Bacterial small subunit ribosomal RNA
Source: RNAcentral
CAGUAGCCGCGGUAAUACGAAGGGUGCUAGCGUUGCUCGGAAUUACUGGGCGUAAAGGGCGCGUAGGCGGACAGCUAAGUCAGAGGUGAAAGCCCAGGGCUCAACCCUGGAAUUGCCUUUGAUACUGGCUGUCUUGAGUAUGGGAGAGGUAAGCGGAACUCCGAGUGUAGAGGUGAAAUUCGUAGAUAUUCGGAAGAACACCAGUGGCGAAGGCGGCUUACUGGCCCAUUACUGACGCUGAGGCGCGAAAGCGUGGGGAGCAAACAGGAUUAGAUACCCGCGUAGUCCCUGUCUCUUAUAC